UAUGAAGGGGGCUAGCGUUGUUCGGAAUCACUGGGCGUAAAGCGCACGUAGGCGGAUUUUUAAGUCAGGGGUGAAAUCCCGAGGCUCAACCUCGGAACUGCCUUUGAUACUGGAGAUCUUGAGUCCGGAAGAGGUAAGUGGAACUGCGAGUGUAGAGGUGAAAUUCGUAGAUAUUCGCAAGAACACCAGUGGCGAAGGCGGCUUACUGGUCCGGAACUGACGCUGAGGUGCGAAAGCGUGGGGAGCAAACAGG
Molecule: ribosomal RNA, 253 nt
Filed under: uncultured bacterium
Lineage: Bacteria
Description: partial 16S ribosomal RNA
Rfam family: Bacterial small subunit ribosomal RNA
Source: RNAcentral